Molecule: ribosomal RNA, 253 nt
Filed under: uncultured bacterium
Lineage: Bacteria
Description: partial 16S ribosomal RNA
Rfam family: Bacterial small subunit ribosomal RNA
Source: RNAcentral
UACGAAGGUCCCAAGCGUUAUCCGGAUUUAUUGGGUUUAAAGGGUGCGUAGGCGGGUUAUUAAGUCAGUGGUGAAAGCCUACAGCUUAACUGUAGAACUGCCAUUGAUACUGAUGAUCUUGAGUACGAUUGAGGUAGGCGGAAUGUGUCAUGUAGCGGUGAAAUGCUUAGAUAUGACACAGAACACCGAUUGCGAAGGCAGCAGGCUAAACAAAUAUUGACGCUGAGGCUCGAAAGCGUGGGGAUCAAACAGG